Molecule: ribosomal RNA, 253 nt
Filed under: uncultured bacterium
Lineage: Bacteria
Description: partial 16S ribosomal RNA
Rfam family: Bacterial small subunit ribosomal RNA
Source: RNAcentral
UACGAAGGGGGCUAGCGUUGUUCGGAUUUACUGGGCGUAAAGCGCACGUAGGCGGACUGUUAAGUCAGGGGUGAAAUCCCAGAGCUCAACUCUGGAACUGCCUUUGAUACUGGCAAUCUCGAGUCCGGAAGAGGUGAGUGGAACUCCUAGUGUAGAGGUGGAAUUCGUAGAUAUUAGGAAGAACACCAGUGGCGAAGGCGGCUCACUGGUCCGGAACUGACGCUGAGGUGCGAAAGCGUGGGGAGCAAACAGG